UAGAGUUUUGAUCCUGGCUCAGGAUAAANGCUGGCGGNGUGCCUAAUACAUGCAAGUCGAGCGAACAGAUGAGAAGCUUGCUUCUCUGAUGUUANCGGCGGACGGGUGAGUAACACGUGGGUAACCUACCUAUAAGACUGGGAUAACUCCGGGAAACCGGGGCUAAUACCUGAUAAUAUUUUGANCCGCAUGGUUCAAUAGUGAAAGACGGCUUCGGCUGUCACUUAUAGAUGGACCCGCGCCGUAUUAGNUAGUUGGUAAGGUAAUGGCUUACCAAGGCNACGAUACGUAGCCGACCUGAGAGGGUGAUCGGCCNCACUGGAACUGAGACACGGUCCAGACUCCUCACGGGAGGCAGCAGUAGGGAAUCUUCCGCAAUGGGCGAAAGCCUGACGGAGCAACAGCCGCGUGAGUGAUGAAGGUCUUAGGAUCGUAAAACUNCUGUUGUUAGGGAAGAACAAAUUUGUUAGUAACUGAAGACAAGUCCUUGUACGUGUACGCUAACCA
This 507-nucleotide ribosomal RNA is filed under the name Mammaliicoccus vitulinus. RNAcentral describes it as "bacterial SSU rRNA". It matches the Rfam family "Bacterial small subunit ribosomal RNA", at positions 1 to 503 of the family's 1533-position model. The record is from RNAcentral. Lineage: Bacteria; Bacillati; Bacillota; Bacilli; Caryophanales; Staphylococcaceae.